This 213-nucleotide ribosomal RNA is filed under the name Lactarius horakii. RNAcentral describes it as "partial 28S ribosomal RNA". The stretch from base 50 to 213 matches the Rfam family "Eukaryotic large subunit ribosomal RNA", at positions 1 to 161 of the family's 3401-position model. Lineage: Eukaryota; Fungi; Basidiomycota; Agaricomycetes; Russulales; Russulaceae. The record is from RNAcentral.
UUUGGGAGUGUCUCCCUUCUCGGGAGACUCUCUUGACCCCACGAACCCUUGACCUCAAAUCGGGUGAGACUACCCGCUGAACUUAAGCAUAUCAAUAAGCGGAGGAAAAGAAACUAACAAGGAUUCCCCUAGUAACUGCGAGUGAAGCGGGAAAAGCUCAAAUUUAAAAUCUGGCGGUCUCUGGCCGUCCCGAGCUGUAAUAGAGAGAAGCGU